Lagopus muta (rock ptarmigan) is the source of this 3126-nucleotide long non-coding RNA. RefSeq lists it as uncharacterized. The record is from RefSeq and is a predicted model, not a curated record. NCBI's taxonomy places the organism in Eukaryota, Metazoa, Chordata, Aves, Galliformes, Phasianidae. The transcript is spliced from 6 exons.
CGGCCGUUUAACGGUCGUUGCUCCAGGUGCUCUCUGAGGUGCGGAGCGUUUGUGGGGCUGUGCAGGACGCGGUCAGCAGGACGGAGCCGGCAGGGAGUCACAAGCAUGUUCUGAAAUCAGCCUGCCCAUCCAUUACAGAAUGGAGCUGGGCCUGAGUCUUUUGGUGAAUUAAAUCUUCAUUGAUGAAUCUUGUCUGGCACAGCUGAGAAGCCUUGAUGAUGACUUAAACCACUCCUAUGAAGCACCAUGGCAGUUCUUUUCUUUUCAAGUGAAAAAUAGUAAUUUUCCACAGGAAGCAGGCCAGAGACUGCUGUUCCCGGAGAAGAAUGUGCCCAAAACAGAAGAACUGGUCACUUGGGAAGAUCUGCCUUUUCGCAGUGGCUCACAGAGCUAAUGGCUGGCCCAGAGACAGUCUGCAUUCCUGCUGUUCUUGGAGUCAGCUGUGCAUGCAUUGCUAAAAGAAGAACUCUGAAGCAUUGGUUGUUCUGCUCAGUGUUUUUCUACUACUGCAGACUAUUCCAUAAGGCUUACAUGGGGCUUAGUCCUGACAGCACAGUGACAGUAUCAGUAGAGUGCUUCUUUUGCACCAUGAAGAACUUGAGAGCAUCAAGGCUCAGGUCCUACAACAAGUCCACUCAAACAUGGGUCAGACAAAUGUCCCAGUGUGGUUCUUCUGUCACCCUGUCACUACACUGCCUCUAACUCUUCAGCCUCUCUGAGAUGCCCUUCUCCUUGUUUAAUCCCAUGACCUUCUUGGUAGACAGGAGGCAUGUUUUUUAACAAGAGUUGAUUGCAUAGCCAAAAACCACCAUCCCACAAUAUAGAGAAAGGGUAGCCUUGGCUAUCUGCCCAUCCUGGUUCAGUGGCAAAGUAAAGGCAGCAAUUAGAGGUAAAAAAGCAGUAUAUGAGAAAUUGAAAAAGGGAAGUAGAUAGCAAUUCAUAUGAAUCAAAAGUUAUGAAGUGUAGAAAAUCGAUAAGCGAAGUGAAGGACAUUGGAAGAAAAUCCAUGGCUGGAAGGGCUAAGGGCCAUAAAGAAGAGUUUUAUAAAUAUUUAAGAAAUAGAAGAAAAAUGACCAUUUGUAGGGGGACUCUUUUAUGUUGUAGAUGAUUAAACUAUUAAUAGAAUGAGGAAGUGAGUAUUUCUGUCCUGCAUUUAGAAUAAGAAGUGUUAUGUACCUGUCUUAUAUGAAGAUGGUGAGACGCCUUACUCACUUGUUUCCACAAGAAGGUAUCAGACAUCUGUUAGGGACAGACUUGAGAGGAAUCAGUAGGCCUUGAUACCUUGGCUUUUAGAAUUUUAAAAUUGCUGACAGAGGCCCACCUAGGGCAGGUAAAUAAUUGCUAAGGGUAGGUAUUAUUGAGAAAUUCGAGAUGCCUGGAAAAGUUCUAAUGAAGCAUGUACUGUCCCUGUUUGAUAACUGCCACUGAUGUGAACCAGAGUAAAAUAAAGGAAGAAGAAAAAGUUCAAUUAAAACUUAAGAGGUGGUAUUACAACUACUGCCGGUCUGCACAAUACUUUGGAAUGGAGGUCUUGUCAAACAAACCCGAUUUCAUUCUCUGAUGAGAUUACAAGUUUGGUUGAUAAAGUUAACUGCAUAGAUAUAAUAGACUUAGUCUUUUAUAUGGCACUUGGCUUAGCACCACAGGACAUUCUCAUUAAAAAAUUAGCACCAUGCAAUAUCAAUAAAGCACACUUUCAAUUGAUUAGUUACUGGCCAGAUGACAGAUUUCAAAGUAGCUAUCAGUGGUGAAUCAUCCCUGGAGGAAGAGAUUUCUGGUGGAAAUCCACAGGGAUCAGUAAAACAACAGAUGCUACCCAACGUUUUUAUCAAUUAUCUGUAAGUGAUUUGGUUCUUUCUUUCUUUAACUUCUUUCUUUCCAAUUGCUGUUGCUAAGAUGUGUGGAUGACAAAGCAGAACAGAAAGGUAUGAAACAGAGUAGCCUCACAGAGCAUUCUGGACCACCUGCUUGUACUUGAAGUAACACCUAUAGCCCAGGAAUGCAACUAUGAAAUAGGAACUAUAUCAUGUCAAGCUGCCAGGUGCAAAAGGACCUGGGAUCAUAGGACACAGCUCAGAAAAGCACUAUCUGCAGGCUGAUUGAACUCAGGCAAACUGUCACUUGGGAUAUGGUACCUUUCUUUUCUUUCUAAAUUGAGAGAAUGAUCAAUUUUUAGAGACAACAGCAGGUGUGGAUUUCCCCAUAUUUAAGGCCUUCAGCUUCAUACUGAGUGCCCUUCUGGAAAGUGCCUUUAGCUGAACACAAAUACUGCUGGCCUGCAAGGCCUGCAAGGGUGCCACUGCUGGCCUGCAAGGGUGAACUGCGUAACCACACUGCAGUUUGGCAAGAUCAGAUGUGAGACAGUGAGACUCAAGGUAUGUAGAGGGAGCCCUCGUCACACAAUAGCUUCAGCAGUUUCCCUUCGGAAGGAACUCCUGAGCAAAUAUAUGUCUGGUACAACAUCAGUACAGCACACACAACCUUGUGCCUCCCAUGGGCACAGGCUUCCAGCCUGCUGGCCUCAGGGCUGUGAACCUCCCCUCACUGAGGUAGAGGCUGAGGGCCCUCAUCUCUCUCAUCCUCUCCCAGAAAGAAACAAAACAGGCAACAUCCGGCUUCUGCCAGCACAUCUUAUCCUCUACCAUUCAGACGAGGGGUGGGAGGGGGGGAAUUCAGUGUCAGUGGUCACUGAACACCUACAGCAGCAGACCAAGCAUCCUUAACCCCACAGGAUGGUUGUUUUUUGUUUGUUUGUUGUUUGUUUUUUUGUGGGAUCUAAAACUAAGAUUAGAAUUUCCCUAUUUGCUAUAACUGCCCAAUGCUACUUGAGUGGAUGCAGGCUUGGCCUGCAUCCCUUUAUCUAAACUCAUGGCACAAGGCCUUUCUUUUAGUGCUAGAAUCCAGCCCACCUCUGGCAGGUCCCACUCCCCAGUUCAGGGCCAGUUUGCAAAUUGAGGCCAUAGUAGCAGCAGGCCAUACUUCUCUCUCCUCACCAGCUUAGGGAAACCUCCCACCACCUCCCUCAUCUCUUGCGGGUGACAGAGAAAUGCAGGGAUGCUGCACGACACAGGCAAAGCACAGACUCAAGCACUGGGUCCUAAGCUCCUCCCAAGCCAGAUAACAGCA